RNAcentral lists this ribosomal RNA (481 nucleotides) under uncultured bacterium. Its description in RNAcentral is "partial 16S ribosomal RNA". It matches the Rfam family "Bacterial small subunit ribosomal RNA", at positions 28 to 507 of the family's 1533-position model. The record is from RNAcentral.
GAUGAACGCUGGCGGCGUGCUUAACACAUGCAAGUCGAACGAAGCACUUUAUUUGAUUUCCUUCGGGACUGAUUAUUUUGUGACUGAGUGGCGGACGGGUGAGUAACGCGUGGGUAACCUGCCUUGUACAGGGGGAUAACAGCUGGAAACGGCUGCUAAUACCGCAUAAGCGCACGGCAUCGCAUGAUGCAGUGUGAAAAACUCCGGUGGUAUAAGAUGGACCCGCGUUGGAUUAGCUAGUUGGGGAGGUAACGGCACGCCAAGGCGACGAUCCAUAGCCGACCGGAGAGGGGGACCGGCGACAUUGGGACUGAGACACGACCCAAACUCCUACGGGAAGCAGCGGUGGGGAAUAUUGCACAAUGGGCGAGAGGCUGAUGCAGCGACGCCGCGUGAGCGAAGAAGUAUUUCGGUAUGUAAAGCUCUAUCAGCAGGGAAGAUAAUGACGGUACCUGACUAAGAAGCACCGGCUAAAUACGUG